Molecule: ribosomal RNA, 483 nt
Filed under: uncultured Desulfobulbus sp.
Lineage: Bacteria; Pseudomonadati; Thermodesulfobacteriota; Desulfobulbia; Desulfobulbales; Desulfobulbaceae
Description: bacterial SSU rRNA
Rfam family: Bacterial small subunit ribosomal RNA
Source: RNAcentral
CAAAGGAAUUGACGGGGCCCGCACAAGCGGUGGAGUAUGUGGUUAAUUCGAUGCAACGCGAAGAACCUUACCUGGUCUUGACAUCCCGGAGACCCUUAGGAAACUAGGGGUGCUUCCAUCUGGAAGAAUCUGGAGACAGGUGCUGCAUGGCUGUCGUCAGCUCGUGUCGUGAGAUGUUGGGUUAAGUCCCGCAACGAGCGCAACCCUUGCCUUUAGUUGCCAGCAGUUCGGCUGGGCACUCUAAAGGGACUGCCGGUGUUAAACCGGAGGAAGGUGGGGAUGACGUCAAGUCCUCAUGGCCUUUAUGACCAGGGCUACACACGUACUACAAUGGCCGAUACAAAGGGCAGCGACACUGCGAGGUGAAGCCAAUCCCGUAAAAUCGGUCUCAGUCCGGAUUGGAGUCUGCAACUCGACUCCAUGAAGUUGGAAUCGCUAGUAAUCGUGGAUCAGCAUGCCACGGUGAAUACGUUCCCGGGCCUU